RNAcentral lists this unclassified non-coding RNA (890 nucleotides) under Hevea brasiliensis (rubber tree). The record is from RNAcentral. Lineage: Eukaryota; Viridiplantae; Streptophyta; Magnoliopsida; Malpighiales; Euphorbiaceae.
AAAAGUGCCGUUCUUUUUAGGCCAAAGUUGAUCGUUGCGGGUGCAAGUGCAUAUGCGCGUCUUUAUGACUAUGACCGCAUGCGGAAGGUUUGUGACAAGCAGAAGGCAAUACUUCUAGCAGAUAUGGCACAUAUCAGUGGGCUUGUCGCAGCUGGUGUUGUUCCAUCUCCUUUUGAUUAUGCAGAUGUAGUGACUACCACUACUCACAAGUCACUCCGUGGACCACGUGGAGCCAUGAUCUUUUACAGGAAGGGGGUGAAAGGAGUAAACAAGCAAGGCAAAGAGGUUAUGUAUGACUUUGAGGACAAGAUCAAUGCUGCUGUCUUCCCAGGUCUGCAAGGUGGACCACAUAAUCAUACCAUUACUGGCUUAGCUGUUGCGCUUAAGCAGGCAACUACUCCGGAGUACAGAGCUUAUCAAGAGCAAGUUAUGAGUAACUGUGCAAAAUUUGCACAGAGCUUGACAGCAAAAGGCUACGAACUUGUCUCUGGUGGGACUGACAACCAUUUAGUGUUGGUAAAUCUCAAGAGCAAGGGCAUAGAUGGUUCAAGAGUGGAGAAGGUUUUAGAAAACGUGCACAUUGCAGCAAACAAGAACACAGUUCCUGGUGAUGUUUCAGCUAUGGUACCAGGAGGCAUCAGGAUGGGAACCCCAGCACUGACCUCAAGAGGAUUUGUUGAGGAGGACUUUGCUAAGGUUGCUGAUUUCUUCGAUGCAGCAGUGAACUUGGCUUUGAAGGUUAAGGCUGCAGCAGGUGGAACAAAACUGAAGGACUUUGUUGCCACUUUGCAAUCUGAUAGCAACAUUCAAUCCGAGAUUGCAAAACUUCGCCAUGAUGUGGAGGAAUAUGCAAAACAGUUCCCCACAAUUGGGUUUGAGAAAGAAACCAU